GCCUGGGUGGCUCAGUCAGUUAAGCGUCUGACUUCAGCUCAGGUCAUGAUCUCACAGUUCAUGGGUUCGAGCCCUGUGUCAGGCU
This 85-nucleotide transfer RNA is filed under the name Felis catus (domestic cat). It matches the Rfam family "tRNA". Rfam says of the family: Transfer RNA (tRNA) molecules are approximately 80 nucleotides in length. Their secondary structure includes four short double-helical elements and three loops (D, anti-codon, and T loops). Lineage: Eukaryota; Metazoa; Chordata; Mammalia; Carnivora; Felidae. The record is from Rfam by way of RNAcentral.